GGGGGGCAUUUUAUAUUAAACACCGCGGAGAUCAAACAGUGCAGCACAGUUUUCUAUCAAGCGCUUCAAACAAACGUGGCUCGUCGUGUCGGACGCCGCGGCAGUCGCGCGUGCGGUUUAACGUGUUCCGGACGUGUUUUUCUUCGGUGCGGAAACGACGCGUCUACCUUUCUCUAUCCUCAUCUGUAAAUGCUAGACGUUCACAGCGGUAUUUCCGCUGCACGUAAAGUCUCGUCCCGACAGCGAGCGAGUCUCCGUUACACUUCACCGGACGAGCGCGAGUCCACGCGUACGCCUCGAUCGAACGGAGCGCGAUUCAACUUUAACCCGGGAGAUCGCAUUGAGAGCUCGCUCUCUCUUCUUCCAGGCAGACCUGACCUACAGCGACAGACAGGAAGCGCGGUAACUCGGACUAAAAUAUCCGUUCUGAUCAGACGUGUGGUGUAACGCUGUGUUUGGUGAUAUUUAUAAACGACAGCAGUCGUAGUCGAGUUUCAUGCGCGCGGUAACCGUGACGCGGUCCGAACACGUCGGCGUAUAUGAAUGUCAGAAUAAAGUGACGUGUAACUGAGUUUAAAGGAGCGAACGUGUGCGUUACUGCACAACAUUCAGCCUCUUACCACGUAACACUACUCCGUUUCUGCUUUCCUUUUUCUCUUUUAGUAAUUCUAAUACAGUGAUUUCACGUCCGCUUUAAAGCUCGUGGACGAUCAGCUGUUUGUUUUUUCAAAAUACAAUGUUGAUUUUUUUUUUUUUAAAAAUCCUUUGCGCAAUGUCUAACAUUUCAUACAUUUUUCACGGUCUUCAGUGUUUGAAGGAGAACGUCGUAAUAUGCUGUUUGAUCCGGUUUAGCAGGACGUCGAUCAGGAUCAGCGAUGAGGUUGGACGGAUUUAUACGCCCUUAGAUCGGAUUUGACGUUUCUGUGAUCAGAUGAACGCAGGACUCGAGGUGGCACCGUCGCACCGUCGAAGUUUCACGUGACGCGGCUGGAAAUGUUUGCAAAGUGGUGGUACCGCUGCCCUGUACUGGGUACCGCUGCCCUGUACUGGUGGUACCGCUGCCCUGUACUGGUGGUACCGCUGCCCUGUACUGCGUGUUGGGAAUAAAUGUGCAGCUUGUUUUUAUUUCGGUUCUGUUCCUAUUUAUUUCGGCCCAAAAGCAGACCUUUCGUCUCGAUCGACUCAAAUAAAAACGUGGAGCUUUUUUCGAGUGUGUACAGAUCUUCAAGCCCAGCCCGGUAGCGUUGUGAGGACGUCAGUCGCUCGGCGUGUCUCCACCCUGUUUGGAGCGCCCCGGCCCGAUUGUUCAGAGCUUCGAGUCCUGCCGAUGUCGCAUCCGUUUUGGCCGCGGCCGUGUUUCCACUACACGGCUGAAGGAAACGAGAUUUGGGGGAAACGGUCACCUGGGAAACACAACCGGGUUGUGUGCGUGCGUGCGUGCGUGCGUGCGUGAGUGUGUGUGUGUGUGUGUGUGUGUGUGUGGGGAAGAGUUCAGUACAUUACAGCAGCGGGGUGGGAGAGGGGAACGAGUACACUCUUCAGUACGAGAGUGAUUGCGCUGAAGCGAAGCGAGGGUUAGUUUACGGGAACGAGUUGAAUUAUAACGUGGGGAAUACGGCGUGAGAAACGUUCGUAGGAAGGAAGCUUUAUUUCCGUUGUCUGCUUAUCUACGAAUAAAACAAAUGAACAUCCCGGACGUGAACUGUGCUCGUCCCAGGCGCCCAGGCUCAGAUCUAGUACACCCAGUGUCGGAUAAGGGACGUUUUACACGCUCGACUCUGCACUCGGACUGUUCGGGGGCGGGGCUUAUAAUGCCGUUUUUCCUCUGGAGCAAACGCUCCUGCACCUUUUCCACGCAGAAAUACCUGCCAGUGUCUGGUUUCCCAGCCGUCAAGCAGACGUGUAGAUUUUGUUGCUAAUUCCAGCGCUCCAGUCCAAUGAAAGUAUGCGCGUGGGUGUGUGUGUGUUUUUUUUGUUUUUGUUUAGAUCCAUGUGGUGCUCCGUUUCCUCCUCCUGCCAAUUUCCUCACCAUCGCCAAACUUUUAAACAGGAAGUCAGACGAACAAGCGGCCGCUUUGCUCGGCAGUCGUCGCGUCCGCACGUCACUAGGUGUGGGCUGGACGAUACGACGCAAAACAUCAGUGUUAAAGUUUAUAAACGCGCACGAGACGCAUCAGGACCGCGUCGGUGUUAAACCGAGAGAGGGUGGGUGGGUGUGUACGUGUGAGGGGGGGUUGUGUGCGCGUGCGUACGUGUGCGUGCGCUCCUCCCAGUCAGACUUUCUCCGUGGUAAUGGUUUUCCUGUUCCUCCGCGCUUCCUCUGCCCUGAAGCUGAAGCUCUGCUGCACUGUAAUUAGGUGAGGAACAAAAUGGACGAGGUUCUCCUCCUGCACCAGACAGCAGUACGCGAGCGGAGAGAGAGAGAGAGAGAGCGCGGGGAACGCCUCGGGAUCAGUCCUCUCGCGUCUGCGUCAGGACGUUCUUUCACAGUCGUUUCUUCGCCGUGGAUCCGUACAUCUCGCAUCUUCCGUUUGUGUCCGUGUUCAACCUGCUGUUUUUAUUCGUUCAUUUCAUUCAUUUCUUUCCUGCAGCCGUGUCGAACCGUAACGCACGUGGCGGCGUCAAGGGUCGGGGUCUCCUCCUCCUCCUCCUCCGCUCACAUUCUUGAUUCUCUUUGCAACACACACUCUCACACACACCUGUGUUUUACACAUCUGUGUUUUUCUUUAAUGUAAAGCCGCUCGGAACGUCUCCCAGCCUGGCGUGUUUACACGUGCGCAGUGCAGGGAUUAAUAUUUGACGUGAUGUCGUUGGCGGGUUUCCAGAGAUCGACGGGUCUGGAUUAAAAGCCGAGUCAGAGGUCAGCCGCGCCGACGGGGCGGAGAUGUACCGCUCUGAGCGGCAGAGUAAAGUGCUCGACGGCUGAGUUCUGUACGUGUGGACGGUUAGGACCGAUAUGAGGAGAAUGCGGUCACGUUAGACCGGCGCAGGGCCAACCCUCUCUUCUGAUUGGUCAGAAGGUGUGGGUUUACUUGCGAGUGUUCUUCCGUGAACCAGCGUUAAUCUUCUCGGAGGAACACGCACACGUGCACACGUUCAGGUGACCUCACGGGAUGAGAGCCAUUUUUACACCUUGAUUUAAAUAUUCAGCUGGAUUUGUGUAUCUUGUUGUUGUUGUUUUUGUUGUUGUUUAGAUUUCUUGUUCUGAGAAACACGACGCUCGACUGUCUGUGGAGCAGAAAUGUCCUGUAGCAGCCAAAUAUCUGUGCCGUGGCUUUCGGUCUUUGCUUCAUUUGUUUUGUUUUAGGCUUUGCUUUCUCGCUCUCUCUCUCUCUCUCUCUCC
This is a long non-coding RNA of Ictalurus punctatus (channel catfish), 3343 nucleotides long. Lineage: Eukaryota; Metazoa; Chordata; Actinopteri; Siluriformes; Ictaluridae. The record is from Ensembl.